Molecule: ribosomal RNA, 1379 nt
Filed under: uncultured bacterium
Lineage: Bacteria
Description: 16S ribosomal RNA
Rfam family: Bacterial small subunit ribosomal RNA
Source: RNAcentral
UUCGCCCUUAGAGUUUGAUCCUGGCUCAGGACGAACGCUGGCGGCGCGCCUAACACAUGCAAGUCGAACGAGCGAGAGAGAGCUUGCUUUCUCGAGCGAGUGGCGAACGGGUGAGUAACGCGUGAGGAACCUGCCUCAAAGAGGGGGACAACAGUUGGAAACGACUGCUAAUACCGCAUAAGCCCACGGGUCGGCAUCGACCAGAGGGAAAAGGAGCAAUCCGCUUUGAGAUGGCCUCGCGUCCGAUUAGCUAGUUGGUGAGGUAAUGGCCCACCAAGGCAACGAUCGGUAGCCGGACUGAGAGGUUAAACGGCCACAUUGGGACUGAGACACGGCCCAGACUCCUACGGGAGGCAGCAGUGGGGAAUAUUGCACAAUGGGGGAAACCCUGAUGCAGCGACGCCGCGUGGAGGAAGAAGGUCUCCGGAUUGUAAACUCCUGUUGUUGGGGAAGAUAAUGACGGUACCCAACAAGGAAGUGACGGCUAACUACGUGCCAGCAGCCGCGGUAAAACGUAGGUCACAAGCGUUGUCCGGAAUUACUGGGUGUAAAGGGAGCGCAGGCGGGAAGACAAGUUGGAAGUGAAAUCUAUGGGCUCAACCCAUAAACUGCUUUCAAAACUGUUUUUCUUGAGUAGUGCAGAGGUAGGCGGAAUUCCCGGUGUAGCGGUGGAAUGCGUAGAUAUCGGGAGGAACACCAGUGGCGAAGGCGGCCUACUGGGCACCAACUGACGCUGAGGCUCGAAAGUGUGGGUAGCAAACAGGAUUAGAUACCCUGGUAGUCCACACCAUAAACGAUGAUUACUAGGUGUUGGAGGAUUGACCCCUUCAGUGCCGCAGUUAACACAAUAAGUAAUCCACCUGGGGAGUACGACCGCAAGGUUGAAACUCAAAGGAAUUGACGGGGGCCCGCACAAGCAGUGGAGUAUGUGGUUUAAUUCGACGCAACGCGAAGAACCUUACCAAGUCUUGACAUCCCUUGACAGACAUAGAAAUAUGUAAUCUCUUCGGAGCAAGGAGACAGGUGGUGCAUGGUUGUCGUCAGCUCGUGUCGUGAGAUGUUGGGUUAAGUCCCGCAACGAGCGCAACCCUUAUGGUCAGUUACUACGCAAGAGGACUCUGGCCAGACUGCCGUUGACAAAACGGAGGAAGGUGGGGAUGACGUCAAAUCAUCAUGCCCUUUAUGACUUGGGCUACACACGUACUACAAUGGCGUUAAACAAAGAGAAGCAAGACCGCGAGGUGGAGCAAAACUCAGAAACAACGUCCCAGUUCGGACUGCAGGCUGCAACUCGCCUGCACGAAGUCGGAAUUGCUAGUAAUCGUGGAUCAGCAUGCCACGGUGAAUACGUUCCCGGGCCUUGCACUCACCGCCCGUCA